RNAcentral lists this long non-coding RNA (218 nucleotides) under Elaeis guineensis (African oil palm). RNAcentral describes it as "long non-coding RNA (EGUI_LNC042436)". Lineage: Eukaryota; Viridiplantae; Streptophyta; Magnoliopsida; Arecales; Arecaceae. The record is from RNAcentral.
UUGAUUCAUCAUUUUAGUUGUAUUUUAUAUUAUCUAAGAUUAUGAUGAAUCCCAAAAAUAGAGACAAUAAUUUUAGGAGACAUGAAUGGGUUAUGCUAGUGAGAUCUAAAAUUCUAAAAUUCUAAUCUUAAAUAUUUUUUAUCAUAGAAAUAUUUAGUCGGAGAUCAAUAUUUUGGAUAGACUGGCACAUCCUAUGUAUGCUCGAUGGAGAGGGUGGC